RNAcentral lists this ribosomal RNA (512 nucleotides) under uncultured bacterium. Its description in RNAcentral is "partial 16S ribosomal RNA". It matches the Rfam family "Bacterial small subunit ribosomal RNA", at positions 28 to 507 of the family's 1533-position model. The record is from RNAcentral.
GAUGAACGCUGGCGGCGUGCCUAAUACAUGCCAGUCGAACGAAACUUCUUUAUCACCGAGUGCUUGCACUCACCGAUAAAGAGUUGAGUGGCGAACGGGUGAGUAACACGUGGGCAACCUGCCCAAAAGAGGGGGAUAACACUUGGAAACAGGUGCUAAUACCGCAUAACCAUAGUUACCGCAUGGUAACUAUGUAAAAGGUGGCUAUACUACCGCCUUUGGAUGGGCCCGCGGCGCAUUAGCUAGUUGGUAGGGUAAAGGCUUACCAAGGCAAUGAUGCGUAGCCGAAUUGAGAGGUUGAUCGGCCACAUUGGGACUGAGACACGGCCCAAACUCCUACGGGAGGCAGCAGUAGGGAAUCUUCCACAAUGGGCGAAAGCCUGAUGGAGCAACGCCGCGUGGGUGAAGAAGGUCUUCGGAUCGUAAAACCCUGUUGUUAGAGAAGAAAGUGCGUGAGAGUAACUGUUCACGUUUCGACGGUAUCUAACCAGAAAGCCACGGCUAACUACGUG